UGAGGCAGCAGCAGGAAGCUGGGGUGUGACGGGUGCCACCCACUGUUCCUGGCCAAAGUUGAGUGGAGCAGCAGCCGGCAGCACCCAGGGGUCUGGCAGCACCUGGCUCCCAUCGAUGGCCCCGGUGCUGCCGUGGGGUUUGGCUGCUGCUGCACCCAUUGGGUUUCUGCUAUUGCUGUUCCUGUGUGCCUUCUGCCCCAGGGCGAGCGGACGCUUCUCCACCCAGAGCACGGCAGGAAACUCCGGGCUGGUGACGCUGUCGGGACCGGACUGCAGAGAUGGGGAAGCAGCGCUGCUGGGAGGUGCAUCGCCUUGCAGCAGGACAGACGUCAGCACUGAGGGAAACACGGACAUCUCUGGGUCACCACACCCCAACACAUCCACUAAAUCUCCCCCGAGGACCCCAGACUUCCUGCGUCACCGGGAGCUCCCACUGCUGCCCGGUGACACCGCAGAGCCCACAGUGGACACAGUGCAGGAUGCCCAGGGGCCCAUCUAUGAAAGCAUCCGCUACAAAUCCCAGAAGCUCAGUGCUGGGCUGAAGAAGCCCUAUAGGGACGAUGGGGGCAGUGGGGAUGGUGGGGAUCCGGUGCAGUGCUUUGUUGUGCAAGAGGAGCCGUGCAGCCUGGGCAGCCCCAUACCUGUGUAUGCUCGCAUCUGCAAAGUGUCCCGGGCACCACAGAACUUGGUACCCAACAGCAUCGAGCCCGAGGAAGAGGCAGCUCCAGCACUGCCAGAGAAGCGCUUCGACAUCCUGUAG
Molecule: long non-coding RNA, 760 nt
Filed under: Chrysolophus pictus (golden pheasant)
Lineage: Eukaryota; Metazoa; Chordata; Aves; Galliformes; Phasianidae
Description: lncRNA (ENSCPIG00010001062.1)
Source: RNAcentral